UACGUAGGGGGCAAGCGUUGUCCGGAAUCAUUGGGCGUAAGCGUGUGUAGGCGCCAGAAAAGUCCGCUGUGAAGACUCGAGGCUCAACUUCGAGCUGUCGGUGGAAACUUUCUGGCUAGAGUCCGGAAGAGGAGAAUGGAAUUCCUGGUGUAGCGGUGAAAUGCGCAGAUAUCAGGAGGAACACCGGUGGCGAAGGCGGCUUGCUGGGCCAGUUCUGACGCUGAGGAGCGAAAGCGUGGGGAGCGAACAGG
This 251-nucleotide ribosomal RNA is filed under the name uncultured bacterium. RNAcentral's name for it is "partial 16S ribosomal RNA". It matches the Rfam family "Bacterial small subunit ribosomal RNA", at positions 524 to 776 of the family's 1533-position model. The record is from RNAcentral.